Non-coding RNA from Aspergillus fumigatus Af293, 72 nucleotides. The record is from the annotation of a RefSeq genome assembly. NCBI's taxonomy places the organism in Eukaryota, Fungi, Ascomycota, Eurotiomycetes, Eurotiales, Aspergillaceae.
AGGCAAUUAGCACGCUCUCGUUACCCGAAUCAAUGUUUCACAAACUCAGGCAUGACGCGAAUUUCUGGUCCU